This 253-nucleotide ribosomal RNA is filed under the name uncultured bacterium. RNAcentral describes it as "partial 16S ribosomal RNA". It matches the Rfam family "Bacterial small subunit ribosomal RNA", at positions 524 to 776 of the family's 1533-position model. The record is from RNAcentral.
UACGUAGGCAGCGAGCGUUGUUCGGAGUUACUGGGCGUAAAGCGUGCGUAGGCGGUUGUCUAAGUUUGGUGUGAAAUCUCCUGGCUUAACUGGGAGGGUGCGCCGAAAACUGGGUGACUGGAGUGUCGGAGAGGUAAGCGGAAUUCCUGGUGUAGCGGUGAAAUGCGUAGAGAUGCGGAGGAACACCGAUGGUGAAGGCAGCCCCCUGGGCUAGCACUGACGCUCAGGCACGAAAGCGUGGGGAGCAAACAGG